RNAcentral lists this ribosomal RNA (2742 nucleotides) under Cronobacter sakazakii. Its description in RNAcentral is "bacterial LSU rRNA". It matches the Rfam family "Bacterial large subunit ribosomal RNA". Lineage: Bacteria; Pseudomonadati; Pseudomonadota; Gammaproteobacteria; Enterobacterales; Enterobacteriaceae. The record is from RNAcentral.
GCGAACCGGGGGAACUGAAACAUCUAAGUACCCCGAGGAAAAGAAAUCAACCGAGAUUCCCCCAGUAGCGGCGAGCGAACGGGGAACAGCCCAGAGCCUGAAUCAGCUUGUGUGUCAGUGGAACGGUCUGGAAAGGCCGGCGAUACAGGGUGACAGCCCCGUACACGAAGGCACACAGGCUGUGAGCUCGAUGAGUAGGGCGGGACACGUGAUAUCCUGUCUGAAGAUGGGGGGACCAUCCUCCAAGGCUAAAUACUCCUGACUGACCGAUAGUGAACCAGUACCGUGAGGGAAAGGCGAAAAGAACCCCGGCGAGGGGAGUGAAACAGAACCUGAAACCGUGUACGUACAAGCAGUGGGAGCCUUCGUAAGAGGGUGACUGCGUACCUUUUGUAUAAUGGGUCAGCGACUUAUAUUCUGUAGCAAGGUUAACCGUAUAGGGGAGCCGAAGGGAAACCGAGUCUUAACCGGGCGUUAAGUUGCAGGGUAUAGACCCGAAACCCGGUGAUCUAGCCAUGGGCAGGUUGAAGGUUGGGUAACACUAACUGGAGGACCGAACCGACUAAUGUUGAAAAAUUAGCGGAUGACCUGUGGCUGGGGGUGAAAGGCCAAUCAAACCGGGAGAUAGCUGGUUCUCCCCGAAAGCUAUUUAGGUAGCGCCUCGUGAACUCAUCUCCGGGGGUAGAGCACUGUUUCGGCUAGGGGGCCAUCCCGGCUUACCAACCCGAUGCAAACUGCGAAUACCGGAGAAUGUUAUCACGGGAGACACACGGCGGGUGCUAACGUCCGUCGUGAAGAGGGAAACAACCCAGACCGCCAGCUAAGGUCCCAAAGUCAUGGUUAAGUGGGAAACGAUGUGGGAAGGCCCAGACAGCCAGGAUGUUGGCUUAGAAGCAGCCAUCAUUUAAAGAAAGCGUAAUAGCUCACUGGUCGAGUCGGCCUGCGCGGAAGAUGUAACGGGGCUAAACCAUGCACCGAAGCUGCGGCAGCGACACGUAUGUGUUGUUGGGUAGGGGAGCGUUCUGUAAGCCUGUGAAGGUGUGCUGUGAGGCAUGCUGGAGGUAUCAGAAGUGCGAAUGCUGACAUAAGUAACGAUAAAGCGGGUGAAAAGCCCGCUCGCCGGAAGACCAAGGGUUCCUGUCCAACGUUAAUCGGGGCAGGGUGAGUCGACCCCUAAGGCGAGGCCGAAAGGCGUAGUCGAUGGGAAACAGGUUAAUAUUCCUGUACUUGGUGUUACUGCGAAGGGGGGACGGAGAAGGCUAUGUCGGCCGGGCGACGGUUGUCCCGGUUUAAGCGUGUAGGCUGACUUUCCAGGCAAAUCCGGAAGGUUAAGGCUGAGGCGUGAUGACGAGGCACCACGGUGCUGAAGUGACAAAUGCCCUGCUUCCAGGAAAAGCCUCUAAGCAUCAGGUAACAUCAAAUCGUACCCCAAACCGACACAGGUGGUCAGGUAGAGAAUACCAAGGCGCUUGAGAGAACUCGGGUGAAGGAACUAGGCAAAAUGGUGCCGUAACUUCGGGAGAAGGCACGCUGACAUGUAGGUGAAGCCCCUGCGGGUGGAGCUGAAGUCAGUCGAAGAUACCAGCUGGCUGCAACUGUUUAUUAAAAACACAGCACUGUGCAAACACGAAAGUGGACGUAUACGGUGUGACGCCUGCCCGGUGCCGGAAGGUUAAUUGAUGGGGUUAUCGCAAGAGAAGCUCCUGAUCGAAGCCCCGGUAAACGGCGGCCGUAACUAUAACGGUCCUAAGGUAGCGAAAUUCCUUGUCGGGUAAGUUCCGACCUGCACGAAUGGCGUAAUGAUGGCCAGGCUGUCUCCACCCGAGACUCAGUGAAAUUGAACUCGCUGUGAAGAUGCAGUGUACCCGCGGCAAGACGGAAAGACCCCGUGAACCUUUACUACAGCUUGACACUGAACAUUGAGCCUUGAUGUGUAGGAUAGGUGGGAGGCUUUGAAGCGUGGACGCCAGUCUGCGUGGAGCCGACCUUGAAAUACCACCCUUUAAUGUUUGAUGUUCUAACCUGGCGCCGUGAUCCGGCGUGGGGACAGUGUCUGGUGGGUAGUUUGACUGGGGCGGUCUCCUCCCAAAGUGUAACGGAGGAGCACGAAGGUCAGCUAAUCCUGGUCGGACAUCAGGAGGUUAGUGCAAUGGCAUAAGCUGGCUUGACUGCGAGAGUGACGGCUCGAGCAGGUGCGAAAGCAGGUCAUAGUGAUCCGGUGGUUCUGUAUGGAAGGGCCAUCGCUCAACGGAUAAAAGGUACUCCGGGGAUAACAGGCUGAUACCGCCCAAGAGUUCAUAUCGACGGCGGUGUUUGGCACCUCGAUGUCGGCUCAUCACAUCCUGGGGCUGAAGUAGGUCCCAAGGGUAUGGCUGUUCGCCAUUUAAAGUGGUACGCGAGCUGGGUUUAGAACGUCGUGAGACAGUUCGGUCCCUAUCUGCCGUGGGCGCUGGAGAAUUGAGGGGGGCUGCUCCCAGUACGAGAGGACCGGAGUGGACGCAUCACUGGUGUUCGGGUUGUCAUGCCAAUGGCACUGCCCGGUAGCUAAAUGCGGAAGAGAUAAGUGCUGAAAGCAUCUAAGCACGAAACUUGCCCCGAGAUGAGUUCUCCCUGAGACUGUAAGUCUCCUGAAGGAACGUUGAAGACGACGACGUUGAUAGGCCGGGUGUGUAAGCGCAGCGAUGCGUUGAGCUAACCGGUACUAAUGAACCGUGAGGCUUAACCUUACAACGCCAAAGAAGU